CCUACGGGAGGCUGCAGUGGGGAAUAUUGGACAAUGGGGGAAACCCUGAUGCAGCGACGCCGCGUGAGUGAAGAAGUAUUUCGGUAUGUAAAGCUCUAUCAGCAGGGAAGAAAAUGACGGCACCUGACUAAUAAGCCCCGGCUAACAACGAGCCAGCAGCCGCGGUAAUACGUAGGGGGCAAGAGUUAUCCGGAUUGACUGGGUGUAAUGGGAGCGUAGUCGGCCAGACAAGUCAGAAGUGAAAGACUAGGGCUCAACCCUGGAACUGCUUUUGAAACUGGCGGGCUGGAGUGCAGGAGAGGUAAGCGGAAUUCCUGGUGUAGCGGUGAAAUGCGUAGAUAUUAGGAGGAACACCAGUGGCGAAGGCGGCUUACUGGACUGUAACUGACGUUGAGGCUCGAAAGCGUGGGGAGCAAACAGGAUUAGAUACCCGGGUAGUC
This 440-nucleotide ribosomal RNA is filed under the name uncultured bacterium. RNAcentral describes it as "partial 16S ribosomal RNA". It matches the Rfam family "Bacterial small subunit ribosomal RNA", at positions 338 to 795 of the family's 1533-position model. The record is from RNAcentral.